RNAcentral lists this ribosomal RNA (1385 nucleotides) under metagenome. RNAcentral's name for it is "bacterial SSU rRNA". It matches the Rfam family "Bacterial small subunit ribosomal RNA". The record is from RNAcentral.
AGAGUUUGAUCCUGGCUCAGGAUGAACGCUGGCGGCGUGCUUAACACAUGCAAGUCGAACGAUCCUUCGGGAUAGUGGCGGACGGGUGAGUAACGCGUGGGAAUCUGCCCUCAGGAGGGGGAUAACGGCUGGAAACGGCCGCUAAUACCCCAUAUGCCGAGAGGUGAAAUGAAUUUCGCCUGAGGAUGAGCCCGCGUCUGAUUAGCUAGUUGGUGGGGUAAAGGCCUACCAAGGCAACGAUCAGUAGCUGGUCUGAGAGGAUGAUCAGCCACACUGGGACUGAGACACGGCCCAGACUCCUACGGGAGGCAGCAGUGGGGAAUUUUCCGCAAUGGGCGAAAGCCUGACGGAGCAACGCCGCGUGAGGGAUGAAGGCCUCUGGGCUGUAAACCUCUUUUCUCAAGGAAGAAGACCUGACGGUACUUGAGGAAUAAGCCACGGCUAAUUCCGUGCCAGCAGCCGCGGUAAUACGGGAGUGGCAAGCGUUAUCCGGAAUUAUUGGGCGUAAAACGUCCGCAGGCGGCCUUGUAAGUCUGUUGUUAAAGCGUGGAGCUCAACUCCAUUUAAGCAAUGGAAACUACAAGGCUGGAGUGUGGUAGGGGCAGAGGGAAUUCCCGGUGUAGCGGUGAAAUGCGUAGAUAUCGGGAAGAACACCAGUGGCGAAGGCGCUCUGCUGGGCCAUAACUGACGCUCAUGGACGAAAGCCAGGGGAGCGAAAGGGAUUAGAUACCCCUGUAGUCCUGGCCGUAAACGAUGAACACUAGGUGUCGGGGGAAUCGACCCCCUCGGUGUCGUAGCCAACGCGUUAAGUGUUCCGCCUGGGGAGUACGCACGCAAGUGUGAAACUCAAAGGAAUUGACGGGGGCCCGCACAAGCGGUGGAGUAUGUGGUUUAAUUCGAUGCAACGCGAAGAACCUUACCAGGGUUUGACAUCCUGCGAACCCCUGAGAAAUCGGGGGGUGCCUUCGGGAGCGCAGAGACAGGUGGUGCAUGGCUGUCGUCAGCUCGUGUCGUGAGAUGUUGGGUUAAGUCCCGCAACGAGCGCAACCCACGUCUUUAGUUGCCAGCAUUCAGUUGGGCACUCUAGAGAGACCGCCGGUGAUAAACCGGAGGAAGGUGUGGAUGACGUCAAGUCAUCAUGCCCCUUACAUCCUGGGCUACACACGUACUACAAUGCUACGGACAAAGGGCAGCAAGCUCGCGAGAGUUAGCAAAUCCCAUAAACCGUGGCCCAGUUCAGAUCGUAGGCUGCAACUCGCCUACGUGAAGGAGGAAUCGCUAGUAAUCGCAAGUCAGCAUACUGCGGUGAAUACGUUCCCGGGCCUUGUACACACCGCCCGUCACACCAUGGAAGUUGGCCAUGCCCGAAGUCGUUACUCCAACCC